CCAUAGUACACGAAUGCCCCACUCGCACUAUCAUUUUCUAUGUUCAGUGGACCGUGAAAUUGGGGUCAAAACUAUAAUUUGGCAUUAAAAUUAGAAAGAUCUUAUCAUGGGGAACAAGUGUACUAAGUUUCAAGUUGAUGUAACUUUAACUUCAUCAAAAACUACCUUGACCAAAAACUUUAACCUGAACUUCGCACUAUCAUUUUCUAUGUUCAGUGGACCAUGAAAUUGGGGUCAAAACUAUAAUUUGGCAUUAAAAUUAGAAAGAUCUUAUCAUGGGGAACAAGUGUACUAAGUUUCAAGUUGAUUGGACUUCAACUUCUUCAAAAACUACCUUGACCAAAAACUUUAACCUGAAGCGGACAGACGAACGGAGGCACAGACCAGAAAACAUAAUGCCCCUCUACUAUCGUAGGUGGGGCAUAAAAAU
This 430-nucleotide long non-coding RNA is filed under the name Mytilus galloprovincialis (Mediterranean mussel). The record is from RNAcentral. Lineage: Eukaryota; Metazoa; Mollusca; Bivalvia; Mytilida; Mytilidae.